GAUGAACGCUGGCGGCGUGCUUAACACAUGCAAGUCGAACGAAGCACUUUACUUGAUUUCUUCGGAAUGAUUGUUCUGUGACUGAGUGGCGGACGGGUGAGUAACGCGUGGGUAACCUGCCUCAUACAGGGGGAUAACAGUUGGAAACGACUGCUAAUACCGCAUAAGCGCACAGUAUCGCAUGAUACAGUGUGAAAAACUCCGGUGGUAUGAGAUGGACCCGNGUCUGAUUAGCUAGUUGUGGGGUAACGGCCUACCAAGGCGACGAUCAGUAGCCGACCUGAGAGGGUGACCGGCCACAUUGGGACUGAGACACGGGCCCAAAA
RNAcentral lists this ribosomal RNA (326 nucleotides) under uncultured bacterium. RNAcentral describes it as "bacterial SSU rRNA". It matches the Rfam family "Bacterial small subunit ribosomal RNA", at positions 28 to 336 of the family's 1533-position model. The record is from RNAcentral.